This 470-nucleotide ribosomal RNA is filed under the name uncultured bacterium. RNAcentral's name for it is "partial 16S ribosomal RNA". It matches the Rfam family "Bacterial small subunit ribosomal RNA", at positions 28 to 507 of the family's 1533-position model. The record is from RNAcentral.
GGUGAACGCUGGCGGCGUGCCUAAGACAUGCAAGUCGAGCGGGGCAGGUUUAUACCUGUUCAGCGGCGGACGGGUGAGUAACGCGUGGGUGACCUACCCGGAAGAGGCGGACAACCUGGGGAAACCCAGGCUAAUCCGCCAUGUGGUCCUGUCCUGUGGGGCAGGACUAAAGGGUGGAUAGCCCGCUUCCGGAUGGGCCCGCGUCCCAUCAGCUAGUUGGUGGGGUAAAGGCCCACCAAGGCGACGACGGGUAGCCGGUCUGAGAGGAUGGCCGGCCACAGGGGCACUGGGACACGGGCCCCACUCCUACGGGAGGCAGCAGUGAGGAAUCUUCCGCAAUGGGCGCAAGCCUGACGGAGCGACGCCGCGUGGAGGAGGAAGCCCUUCGGGGUGUAAACUCCUGAACUGGGGACUAAAGCCCCGUGUAGGGGGAUGACGGUACCCAGGUAAUAGCGCCGGCCAACUCCGUG